GAUGAACGCUGGCGGCGUGCCUAAUACAUGCAAGUCGAGCGAACAGACGAGGAGCUUGCUCCUCUGACGUUAGCGGCGGACGGGUGAGUAACACGUGGAUAACCUACCUAUAGGACUGGGAUAACUUCGGGAAACCGGUGCUAAUACCGGAUAAUAUAUUGAACCGCAUGGUUCAAUAGUGAAAGACGCUUUUGCUGUCACUUAUAGAUGGAUCCGCGCCGCAUUAGCUAGUUGGUAAGGUAACGGCUUACCAAGGCAACGAUGCGUAGCCGACCUGAGAGGGUGAUCGGCCACACUGGAACUGAGACACGGUCCAGACUCCUACGGGAGGCAGCAGUAGGGAAUCUUCCGCAAUGGGCGAAAGCUUGACGGAGCAACGCCGCGUGAGUGAUGAAGGUCUUCGGAUCGUAAAACUCUGUUAUUAGGGAAGAACAAAUGUGUAAGUAACUAUGCACGUCUUGACGGUACCUAAUCAGAAAGCCACGGCUAACUACGUG
RNAcentral lists this ribosomal RNA (497 nucleotides) under uncultured bacterium. RNAcentral's name for it is "partial 16S ribosomal RNA". It matches the Rfam family "Bacterial small subunit ribosomal RNA", at positions 28 to 507 of the family's 1533-position model. The record is from RNAcentral.